UCUACGGGAGGCAGCAGUGGGGAAUCUUAGACAAUGGGGGGAACCCUGAUCUAGCCAUGCCGCGUGAGCGAUGAAGGCCUUAGGGUUGUAAAGCUCUUUCAGCUGGGAAGAUAAUGACGGUACCAGCAGAAGAAGCCCCGGCUAACUCCGUGCCAGCAGCCGCGGUAAUA
This 170-nucleotide ribosomal RNA is filed under the name uncultured bacterium. Its description in RNAcentral is "partial 16S ribosomal RNA". It matches the Rfam family "Bacterial small subunit ribosomal RNA", at positions 338 to 525 of the family's 1533-position model. The record is from RNAcentral.